This is a non-coding RNA of Peromyscus maniculatus bairdii (prairie deer mouse), 306 nucleotides long. The record is from RefSeq and is a predicted model, not a curated record. Lineage: Eukaryota; Metazoa; Chordata; Mammalia; Rodentia; Cricetidae.
GUUUCCUUACUGAAGAUGAUGGUGCCAGCCUUCGCAGCAUCUGAAGUCUGAUGUUAUGUCCCCAUAUAGGAUAUCAACCAUGAGCACCUGAAAGAUGAGCAAGUCAUUCCCUGGCUACCAAGUGAUGGAUCCUGAUGCCAAACCUUGGCUGACUUUGGAAGUCAGUUGCUGAAUAGGAUGGGAGCAAGAGAUAGAAUUUCAUUUGCUAUGGUUGACAUAGUUCACCAACAGUAUGGCUUAAACAACAUAAGUGUGUUUUUUGAGAACUGGUCACUUCUGAUAUGUGAAGAUCAUGCCAAAUCUCUG